Molecule: ribosomal RNA, 500 nt
Filed under: uncultured bacterium
Lineage: Bacteria
Description: partial 16S ribosomal RNA
Rfam family: Bacterial small subunit ribosomal RNA
Source: RNAcentral
AUUGAACGCUGGCGGCAGGCUUAACACACGCAAGUCGAGCGGAGAGAGGUAGCUUGCUACUGAUCUUAGCGGCGGACGGGUGAGUAAUGCUUAGGAAUCUGCCUAUUAGUGGGGGACAACAUUACGAAAGGAAUGCUAAUACCGCAUACGUCCUACGGGAGAAAGCAGGGGAUCUUCGGACCUUGCGCUAAUAGAUGAGCCUAAGUCGGAUUAGCUAGUUGGUGGGGUAAAGGCCUACCAAGGCGCCGAUCUGUAGCGGGUCUGAGAGGAUGGUCAGCCACACUGGGACUGAGACCCGGCCCAGACUCCUACGGGAGGCAGCGGUGGGAAUAUUGGACAAUGGGCGCAAGCCUGAUCCAGCCAUGCCGCGUGUGUGAAGAAGGCCUUAUGGUUGUAAAGCACUUUAAGCGAGGAGGAGGCUACUUUAGUUAAUACCUAGAGAUAGUGGACGUUACUCGCAGAAUAAGCACCGGCUAACUCUGUGCCAGCCGCCGCCGUAA